Long non-coding RNA from Toxorhynchites rutilus septentrionalis, 453 nucleotides. RefSeq lists it as uncharacterized. NCBI's taxonomy places the organism in Eukaryota, Metazoa, Arthropoda, Insecta, Diptera, Culicidae. The record is from RefSeq and is a predicted model, not a curated record. The transcript is spliced from 2 exons.
UCGACAGGUCUGCACCAGAAACGAGAAAUAAGAAAAAAAUACAUCGUGGAUCAAAAGCAGUAUUUACCGAUCUGCUCACUGUCCGAUUGGAACCACGAUUCACACGACCAUAAAACGGUGUAUCAUUUAUUUGCCCCCCGCACCUGAACAUCCCUUUCGUUUAAUGGAAUGGCAAGCCGACAAUAUCGUGAUAGUGAUGGCCAACAUCCCGGAGCUCAGCUACAUGGAGAGAUAUUGGCGCCAUCGUCAAGCGGAACUUGAAGAAGACGCAAAAACGAUGAAAGGCGAAUGACAGUUCGAAGCAAACGGGCAUUCUGUAGCUGCUAACCUGCUAACAACAUCUGAAACGUCAACCGAACAAUUUAAACUCGCCUGGUAUUAUUCAAAACACUAUAAUCGUAACCAAUAAGUCCUAAAUUCACACUUCUCCGGCAAUGAAAUUAUAAAAAUCAA